AGGGAGAUUGCCCUCGAGUGAAAAGGCAUAAGGGAGCUCGAUUUCAAGACUUAUCCUUUGAGCAUGGAUGAAAAUUGACUUGAGU
Molecule: ribosomal RNA, 85 nt
Filed under: Olea europaea subsp. europaea
Lineage: Eukaryota; Viridiplantae; Streptophyta; Magnoliopsida; Lamiales; Oleaceae
Description: PK-G12rRNA
Source: RNAcentral